UACGUAGGUGGCAAGCGUUGUCCGGAAUUAUUGGGCGUAAAGCGCACGUAGGCGGCUUAGCAAGUUGGAUGUGAAAGCCCUCGGCUUAACCAAGGAAGUGCAUCCAAAACUGCUGAGCUUGAGUAGUUAAGAGGAUCGCGGAAUUCCCGGUGUAGAGGUGAAAUUCGUAGAUAUCGGGAGGAACACCAGUGGCGAAGGCGGCGCUCUGGGAACAUACUGACGCUGAGGUGCGAAAGCGUGGGGAGCAAACAGG
This 253-nucleotide ribosomal RNA is filed under the name uncultured bacterium. RNAcentral's name for it is "partial 16S ribosomal RNA". It matches the Rfam family "Bacterial small subunit ribosomal RNA", at positions 524 to 776 of the family's 1533-position model. The record is from RNAcentral.